RNAcentral lists this ribosomal RNA (427 nucleotides) under uncultured bacterium. RNAcentral's name for it is "bacterial SSU rRNA". It matches the Rfam family "Bacterial small subunit ribosomal RNA", at positions 355 to 787 of the family's 1533-position model. The record is from RNAcentral.
UGAGGAAUAUUGGUCAAUGGGCGGGAGCCUGAACCAGCCAAGCCGCGUGAGGGAGGAAGGCCCUAUGGGUCGUAAACCUCUUUUGUCAGGGAACAAAAGCGAGUAUGUAUACUAGUCUGAGUGUACCUGAAGAAAAAGCAUCGGCUAACUCCGUGCCAGCAGCCGCGGUAAUACGGAGGAUGCGAGCGUUAUCCGGAUUUAUUGGGUUUAAAGGGUGCGUAGGCGGCGGUGCAAGUCAGCGGUAAAAGCCCGGGGCUCAACCCGCGAGCCGUUGAACUGCAGUGCUAGAGAAGGCGAGAGGUACGCGGAAUGCGCAGUGUAGCGGUGAAAUGCUUAGAUAUUGCGCAGAACUCCGAUUGCGAAGGCAGCGUACUGGCGCCUGACUGACGCUGAGGCACGAAAGCGUGGGGAUGAACAGAUAGAUACC